This 443-nucleotide ribosomal RNA is filed under the name uncultured bacterium. RNAcentral's name for it is "partial 16S ribosomal RNA". It matches the Rfam family "Bacterial small subunit ribosomal RNA", at positions 338 to 795 of the family's 1533-position model. The record is from RNAcentral.
CCUACGGUAGGCAGCAGUGGGGAAUAUUGGGCAAUGGGCGCAAGCCUGACCCAGCAACGCCGCGUGAAGGAAGAAGGCUUUCGGGUUGUAAACUUCUUUUCGCAGGGACGAAGCAAGUGACGGUACCUGAGGAAUAAGCCACGGCUAACUACGUGCCAGCAGCCGCGGUAAGACGUAGGUGGCAAGCGUUAUCCGGAUUUACGGGGUGUAAAGGGGGUGUAGGCGGGAAAGCAAGUUAGAUGUGAAGACCAUGGGCUCAACCUGUGGCCUGCAUUUGAAACUGUUUUUCUUGAGUACUGGAGAGGCAGACGGAAUUCGUAGUGUAGCGGUGAAAUGCGUAGAUAUCAGGAGGAACACCAGUGGCGAAGGCGGUCUGCUGGAGAGCAACUGACGCUGAGGCGCGAAAGCGUGGGGAGCAAACAGGAUUAGAUACCCGAGUAGUC